AUGACACCGAUGGAAGAUAAGUUGUGGGUAAACUGUGGGUCCCACAGAAGGAGCAGUGCCUGCGUAGGGGCCCAUGCUUCACAGUGCUACACCUCUGGACACCACUUCUGUGCUUUCUUACACGUGAUAUAUCAUUCAGACCCUGCAGAGACGUCCACCCGAACAGUGCCGUUCAGAUCAUGUUUUAAAACCUUCCACGUCUGGUGUUGGGAACGCAGCCGCGGCUUGGUGGUGGAUAGCAAGAGGCAAAGAUCAGCUUCCAGCGGGAGAACAAAGAUGCUUGGAGCUCUCUUGGCCCUCAUGAAAGCCCUUCCUGAAAGCCUUCUGGAAUGCUCCACGAAGCAGUUUACGGUCUGGGAGGAAAUGGCUUCUCCAUGUGCAAGUGCGCUGCCCUAUCCUCCACUCUCCCCCACACCUGUGGGAUCAUUGCUGGGGUUCAAGGAGCCCCACGGCCGGCCGUUGUCAGGGGAGACGGUGGUGGGGAGCAGAGCGUGGUAA
RNAcentral lists this long non-coding RNA (498 nucleotides) under Oryctolagus cuniculus (rabbit). RNAcentral's name for it is "lncRNA (ENSOCUG00000032600.1)". The record is from RNAcentral. Lineage: Eukaryota; Metazoa; Chordata; Mammalia; Lagomorpha; Leporidae.